This 486-nucleotide ribosomal RNA is filed under the name uncultured bacterium. RNAcentral describes it as "bacterial SSU rRNA". It matches the Rfam family "Bacterial small subunit ribosomal RNA", at positions 29 to 526 of the family's 1533-position model. The record is from RNAcentral.
AACGAACGCUGGCGGCAGGCCUAACACAUGCAAGUCGAACGUGAAGCCACCUUCGGGUGGUGGAAAGUGGCAGACGGGUGAGUAACGCGUGGGAACGUGCCUUUCGGUUCGGAAUAACCCAGGGAAACUUGGGCUAAUACCGGAUACGCCCUUCGGGGGAAAGAUUCAUUGCCGAAAGAUCGGCCCGCGUCGGAUUAGCUAGUUGGUGGGGUAAAAGCCUACCAAGGCGACGAUCCGUAGCUGGUCUGAGAGGAUGACCAGCCACACUGGGACUGAGACACGGCCCAGACUCCUACGGGAGGCAGCAGUGGGGAAUCUUGCGCAAUGGGCGAAAGCCUGACGCAGCGACGCCGCGUGCGGGAAGAAGGCCUUCGGGUUGUAAACCGCUUUCAGGAGGGACGAAGCCACUCGGGUGAAUAGCCCAGAGGGUGACGGUACCUCCAGAAGAAGCCCCGGCUAACUACGUGCCAGCCGCCGCCGUAAGAC